Molecule: ribosomal RNA, 860 nt
Filed under: uncultured Neocallimastigales
Lineage: Eukaryota; Fungi; Neocallimastigomycota; Neocallimastigomycetes; Neocallimastigales
Description: partial large subunit ribosomal RNA
Rfam family: Eukaryotic large subunit ribosomal RNA
Source: RNAcentral
GUACACGCUGUGACUAGCAUAUCAAUAAGCGGAGGAAAAGCGCAUUAUCCAUACCUACGCUUAGGAUGUUGACAGCAGUAUAGACUGUACACGCUGUGACUAGCAUAUCAAUAAGCGGAGGAAAAGAAACUAACAAGGAUUCCCCUAGUAACGGCGAGUGAAGCGGGAAGAGCUCAAAUUUGAAAUCUUAAAGGGUUUCCCUUUACGAAUUGUAGUUUAAAGAAGUGUUUUCUGUUGAGGUUUUGGUAAAAGUUCUUUGGAAUAGGACAUCAUAGAGGGUGAGAAUCCCGUAUUUGACCUUUACUUUCAACUUUGUGAUACACUUUCAAAGAGUCGGAUUGUUUGGGAAUGCAGUCCAAAAUGGGUGGUAAAUUUCAUCUAAAGCUAAAUAUUGGCGAGAGACCGAUAGCGAACAAGUACCGUGAGGGAAAGAUGAAAAGAACUUUGAAAAGAGAGUUAAACAGUACGUGAAAUUGUCAAAAGGGAAGCGUUUGACACCAGUGUUGUUUUUCUGAAAAUCAAUUAAAGAACUGUUUAUGCUAAGUUGUUUAGACUUUAUCAGCUAACUGUUUAGUUUUGAGCUUUUCUUUAAUGCACUUUUCAGUUAACAAGUCAACAUCAAUUUCCUUUGCUGUAAAAAAGCUUGAGGAAGGUGGCUUGAGAUUCGUCUUAAGUGUUUAUAGCCUCUUGCCUAUGCAGUCGGAGAGAUUGAGGUCUGCAGCGUAGAUCCUUCGGGGCUAAAUGCAUUUGUGCUAAGUUAUAGCAUUUCAUAGACAACUUGUUGACUAUGAUUUGUCUCGUAGCUUACUCGCUUAUGUUAUUUUACCUACGCUUAGGAUGUUGACAGCAGUAUAGACUGU